RNAcentral lists this long non-coding RNA (554 nucleotides) under Theobroma cacao (cacao). Its description in RNAcentral is "long non-coding RNA (TCAC_LNC005847)". The record is from RNAcentral. Lineage: Eukaryota; Viridiplantae; Streptophyta; Magnoliopsida; Malvales; Malvaceae.
GAGGGUGAACUCAGCCAAUGCCAAGGAACGAUUAUGUUUUCAAAAUAAAAACAUAAUUUAUGCGUACAUGACUUUUUAACAGUCUUGGAGGACUCGGUUGGGAUAGCCCUCGAUCAAGGCAUCCCUGAUAACUGAGUAUGAGAAUGAUUUUUGGCACGAGCCAAGCUUUUCAAGAAAUCAUAAGCCUAGUUGUUUAUUUGGUUGAAAUAUGUUGAAAGGUAAUGAAAUUACAAUAUGAUGAUUUAUUUUAAUUGUCUCCAUUUACUCGGCUUUAAAUAUUUUAGAUGGUAUUUGUUUACUUACUGAGAUUAUAUAAUCUCACCACCCUCCUUUCCACCCAUUUCAGGCUCAGGAUAGUGUGUAGAUAGCUGAUAUCAUCGAAGGCUAUAGUCAGCUUUACUACUCCAAAAACUGUAGGUUUACUGCCUUUGUGCACUUUUGUUCCUUGUGGGCCCACGAGUCAUUGUAAAGUAAAUUUCAUAUCACGGUUAUCUGUAUUGUAGUACGUAUGAAUUUAUUAAGCUUUUACAUUACAAAAAAAAUUAAUUACCGAU